CGGUGUUUAACUGGCGUGAUGUGGGACGUCCUACCGGUGGGCUUAGCCUCGCGAGGGGCGGCCCAACUAAUAUCCCGUCGCGGUGCUCUUUACUGAGUGUCGAGUCGGGCCGGUACGCUUACUUUGAACAAAUUAGAGUGCUUAAAGCAGGCUAUCCUCGCCUGAAUACUGCGUGCAUGGAAUAAUGGAAUAGGACCUCGGUUCUAUUUUGUUGGUUUUCGGAACCCCGAGGUAAUGAUUAAUAGGGACAGAUGGGGGCAUUCGUAUUGCGACGUUAGAGGUGAAAUUCUUGGAUCGUCGCAAGACGGACAGAAGCGAAAGCAUUUGCCAAAAAUGUUUUCAUUAAUCAAGAACGAAAGUUAGAGGUUCGAAGGCGAUCAGAUACCGCCCUAGUUCUAACCAUAAACGAUGCCAGCUAGCGAUCCGCCGAAGUUCCUCCGAUGACUCGGCGGGCAGCUUCCGGGAAACCAAAGCUUUUGGGUUCCGGGGGAAGUAUGGUUGCAAAGCUGAAACUUAAAGGAAUUGACGGAAGGGCACCACCAGGAGUGGAGCCUGCGGCUUAAUUUGACUCAACACGGGAAACCUCACCAGGCCCAGACACCGGAAGGAUUGACAGAUUGAUAGCUCUUUCUUGAUUCGGUGGGUGGUGGUGCAUGGCCGUUCUUAGUUGGUGGAGCGAUUUGUCUGGUUAAUUCCGAUAACGAACGAGACUCUAGCCUGCUAAAUAGGCGUACCUUAUGGUAUCGCGAAGGCCCCCGGCUUCGGCCGGUGGGUUUUUACUACCAACGUACAAACAAAUCUUUUUAGAGGGACAGGCGG
This 819-nucleotide ribosomal RNA is filed under the name uncultured eukaryote. RNAcentral describes it as "SSU rRNA". It matches the Rfam family "Eukaryotic small subunit ribosomal RNA", at positions 629 to 1426 of the family's 1831-position model. The record is from RNAcentral.